Non-coding RNA from Meleagris gallopavo (turkey), 2932 nucleotides. Lineage: Eukaryota; Metazoa; Chordata; Aves; Galliformes; Phasianidae. The record is from RefSeq and is a predicted model, not a curated record.
GUGAAAAAUGAAUAUGAAAUCAAUCACUUUGCCUUUUACUCAAAAUUCAAUCUUCAUCCCUGAUGUCAUAAGUAGGACUGGUAGUGCUGGUGGGGACUAAGCAGUUGAGCUCUUGAGAAAGAAAUUUUCAUUUUCUAAAUCUUUCUUCUGAGAUAAACUUGGCUCUCUAGAGAUGCAGGGCUUUAAGUUUAGGAUACAGAGAUAAAAACAGGAAUAGCAACCGGAUAUGGUAAUAUAGUGUGUGUGCACAGAACAGGGAGAGCAGGCAGGGAAUUGGGGAAUGAAGACAGGAUGAAGUGGGAUGGUCCUCUGAUAAGGGCAGCAGAUGGCAGGGAUGGGCUGCCUCUGGCAUGACAAAAUGGUUCUUGACACUUACAAACUGUGCCCGAACAACACCCAGGAGCAGGCCAGGAGGCUGCUAUGGGCACUGCUCCCAGGAGGCCACUGACAGCCAGGAGGUAGAGGCAGAAAUGGGCCAAUGCCAAAGCCCUUUCGCAGGCCUCACUACAUUUACUGGAGCAGACACAGCCAGAGCAACACUAGCAUGUACAAAGCAGGUUAUCUGGGAGAAGCAAGAUCUCUGACAGUGGGGAAUCAGAUCCAGUGUUCCCAGAGGAGUCUCUGAGGAUGGUCAGAGGCACUGCAGGCAUUUCUUGGAUCAGUGAGAAGAAGCUGUUGGACAGCAAGGAUCCUUCAAGUUCCACCUGCAGAGUUACAAUGGAAAAGAGCUAAGAGAUCCCCAGCUGCUAGUUUUUAGGUAUCAUUCUCUGUACUGGGGGAACACAUUCAGCUACAGGGAUAAUCUGCUCCAGCCACAGUCUCUGCCUCUGUCAGAUGGAAGAGAUUUGUAGGUGUCACAGAGUCAGGGCUAAGUUUUUUGAUCCAGGUCCAUCAGAGACAAGCUGCCACACAGGCUUUCAUCAGAGUAGAUCUGAAAAGCUGUAGUAAGCUUUUUGUACUAUCCCUUUCCGACCAGCCUAGAACCCCAUAUACUGCAGCACUUGCCAACUUACUUGGAGGUGAAUUCAUCCAGAAGGACAGAUGAAAGGAUGCUGCUGUUCUCUGUAGUUGCCUCACACUAGCCUCAGUCAUACUGGAAGACACUACCAAUAGUUUUAUUACUCUAAUGUUCAUUCUUGUUCUUACACUUACUUGCUUGUAAGUACUGGUCAUUCUCGUUUUUGAAAAAUCACUUGUUUACCUUUUUUUUCUCCUCUGUCAUUAGUUGUGUCUUAUGUGUUCUUUAUUCCUUCCAGCUACCCCUUUUUCCUAAUGAAGGAUUUGACUUUUUUUAUCAUUAAGUGGAGAUGUGUAUGGAGCACAAAAAUUCGAUCCAUCUCUGGAUUCAACCUUCUUCAAAACACAGGCACAGUGCAAGACAGAGUCUGUUCAAGCUCAUGUCUGCAUGGAAAAUAUUCAAUCUGGUCUCAAGGAAGGAGUCUGCCUGGACAUGCUGUCAAGCGGAUAGCAGGAGGUGAAUCUGGAUCCUUUCCUUCAGGAGAAACAGCUGUGCUGGAGCCAAGCUCGGAGGAGAGGUUGUGUAAUAAGUCACAGCAAGGGCAUCUAAUCAUCUCUAGAACGUGACAACAUUUGGUUCAGAUUCCCUUAUCAGCAUCACCUUUCCUUCUGCCUCUGCCCCAUCCUUAAAGAAGACCAGGCGGUGGGCCUUGGACAUCAGUCACACGUCGACCGCUUCUUCAAACACUUCACGUGGGAAACUGUUCAGAGGAAUGAUUGCUGAGCUGCAGACCUGGAAAAUAACUGUCAUCAAGACCUUUACAUCUGUCAGAGGAAUUUCAGCUCAGUGACACUGAUUUGCCCUUAUUUUUUUUUUAAUUUUAGUAAGGUCUUGGAUUUUUAUGACUUAAAAUUCCUGCUGCAGUGCAUUACUCUGGCAGGAGCUCUAUUUCACACAAAGUUUUACACAAUACUUAACCAAGAAUUAGGUACACACCUUUAAAAUAAAAAAUACCAUUAUAUCUCUAUUAUGUUGUGAAUGGUAAUUAAUAUGAAACUGUCUGCUUUGUUUCUUUCAUUCUUGUUGAUCUGUGAAAAACUCACUCUCCUAAUCAGCAUAGCUGCGCCCCUACCAAGGAUGGUUUAAAUCUGAAAAUAGCAAGGUCUAAAGUGAGGAUUGUGUUUGGAAGGAUUGCAGGUUGCCUUGCACUGGCACAUUCUGCUUCACAGUAACACUAAGGCAUAUUACUAAAAGUUUGGUUUAAGAAUGAGGACCCAAUCAUGGUGGGAUGUGGCCGACUGCAGAAACAUUAAAUUCACUUGCAUGUAUCUGCAUUAAAAAAUGCAAAGUCUGCUGCAAGCCUUACGACUAUUUCAUCUCUUUUUGUUAAACCUUUUAGGAUGCCAAUUGAAUCUGAGCAUUUUCAUCUGCAAUGGAAUUAAGAUGUAAUGCCAUUUAGAGCUUUACAUCAUUUUAGUCAUUUGAGAAUUUGUGCACAACAGCUUUUUGUUCUUAAACUGUGUUAGUGCAUGAGUAUACUUUGUGAAUCCUACAUGAAUUUUGAGAGUUGUGUGUAUACCACCUGAAAGUUUUGGGAGAAAAUGAAAAUUAUACAUUUCGAAUACAUAAGCUUACUCCUACAACUGUAUAUGGAAGAUAAAAUUUUUAUGCUUUUAUAUAAUUUGCUUUUAAAUUCUGUUGAAUCUUUUCAUAAAGUGAUCUCCUUUGCUUUUUCUUAUUUCUCUCUCUUGUUUUUGUUUUUGUUUUUUUUUUGCUUUUACUUUUGUUGAGUGGUACAAAAUCUCAUCUAAAUUCUGAAAAUGUUGUGUUUUAAAGCAAUUUUUAUCUUAUCUCUUCUCUCUGCAAGUAAUAACAAACUUAAAAAGACAUUAACUCGUAUGAGGCUCUCUCUUUUUCUCUGUGGAAUGCAAGUUAGAAAGUUUAGCAAGUGAAAAUAAAAACAUAAUUCCUAAA